CCCAGGCUGGGUGCUGAUUCCCGUCUGUUCUCCUGAGGAGGGGACCCGCUCUGCUGCCUUGGCACCAUGCCGUGGGCAGGGGGCCUGCUCUAUUCCCUGCAGGUGUGGAUGCCUCUAGAUUUCAGCACCAGGGUUUCCUGGUGCUGAAGAAAGACACCAGCCUCUGCCACAGGGUUCUAGAUGUCCUCUGACCCAAAAUUUCUGUUGUUCUUGUCUGCCAAAGAAGGUUUUGAGCGUUUCUCAUCAUCUCAAUCCCUCCUGCAGCCUUUCAGGUCACUGCCAUGACCAACUCUCCUCUGCUGACAUCCCCAUGCAAGCUGCUUAAUUUUUCUUUGAGUUCACUUAUUUGUAUUUUCCCUUUUCUGCCUCCUCCAUGCCAGAUACAGAAAUGAGAAGGCAUUGUAUGCAGAUUUCUCUCUGCCCUCCUGGUUCUCCCAAGAUCCUCACAGCUUUGCUCAUAAGAAUUUUGGUUUACUUUCCUGGGCCUGGCUUCACUUUGUUUAAAUGUUUUCCAGCGUCUGCAUACAGUUCUGGUCCUUUCAUCUCAGAAAGGGUAAUAGAGAAUGGAAGAAGGUUUAGAGGCAGGCAGUCAGGAUGCUCAGAGACAUGGGAACAGACUGUACAGUGAAAAACUGUAGGCUGGGACACUUCAGCUUGGUAGAAGGACAUACAGUGGGGAAGACGUCUACAAAAUCAUGUGUGGCCCAGAGAAGAUGGGGAGGGUUGACUGUUAGCUGUGUCUUCUGACACAAACCUGUGAACUGUUUUUGCCUUGACUGAAGCCUCAAAAGCCUAAGAAAUCCCUGUCCGGCCGAUGAUAUACCCAAAGGUUGUGCACUUUUUAGCCCACGCUUCUUGCAACACUGGGGGCGAAGCUCAUGGCAAACCAUUGAGGAGUGUGCUUAAAAAUCCUGCCUCAGAAACAUUUUGUAACCAUGUUUUCACGUGGAGGGCUCAGCCACGGCCAAGUGGAGCUCUACCAAAUUGUUCAUCACAAAAAUAUUCAGAGCUGGGAGGAGAAUGAGCUGGACAAAUCCCAGCCCAGAGAAAGAGACCUCCAGAGGGUUGUAUCUUGCAGGAACCUUUUUGUAGGGGAAAACGCUUGCGACUGAGACUCUAAUUUUUCUGCUGCACUGCCAACCCCACAGCAGCCUGCCAGGAGUUGCUCCUGCGGCAUUGUGAUGUCCUAGGAUGGUGUGGAAGAUGAUCUGUGAAUGGCAAGGGACUGAGCUCUUUAUUCUCCUUUUCUCACCUGAGAGUGGACACAGAGCAUUGCUUUGCAUCUCCGGUGACAGAGUAAGCCACAAGACAAACAAACAAUUUACUUUGGCUGAAAGAGCCACAAAUAUCUCCCUGAAGUCUAGAAGCACAAAGAAAUGGGUGAUUUCUUUUUCGGGAGGACUAAGGGACUUAUUUCCACCCCCCCAUCUCUCAUGUCCCUGCCUGCUUAUGACAGUGGCAUUCAGCUGUCACUUUCCCAGUAUAGGGCAGGGGAUUUGCAGUGACCCUUCUGUGACAAAUAACUUCUAAGGAGAGUACGACAGGUAUAGGAAGUCUUCUCCAUCAUCUGCCAAGGUCACUUCUAACAGGACACACAGCACAAGCCCUUGGUAAGGAGGCAACAAGCAGCGACAGCAGUUGACAGGGACAAAUUUGGCAGAGCAUGAAAAGAAAGGACUCCCCCUCCUUCUAGCUGCAGUGAAGAAGAACCCCAAGGCAUCUGAAGGGCUUUCUGCCCCUACCCGUCUGGAGGAGGUGAUCACUGCCUGGUACCUGCUUGGCAGCCACUUCGUACCCGUCGGGGUUCAUGGAGGGCAUGAUGUGGAUGCGCGUGUCAUGGAUGAGGCGCGUGAUCCGCUCGUUGCCCCGGCGGUACUCCUCGCACAGGAACUCUGAGAGCUGCAGCAGCAGCUCACGGCCCAGCACCUCGUUCCCGUGCAUGUUCCCAACAUACUUGAACUCUGGCUCAACUGGAAAGAGGAAGAGAGUGACGCCAUCAGCCAUGGCUGGAACAGGGGGCAAGAACAAAUGCCUACCACAGGGAGCCCCAGGCGAGCCCAAGGGACACCCAAUAAAUGUCUAAAAUGACCCUUUCCCUUGGAAAAUGCAAACCUCAGUGAGGGAGAGUGGCACAGUUCUCAUAUGGGCUCUGCUUCAUUUUGCCACAGCACCCUGGGAGCAGCUCAGACUCUCCUCCAGGUUGCUUUGGGCCUUUGGAAGAGUACUGGUUGGGGGUUUGGUCUUGGGUUGAUGAAAGGCAUCACAAAAGGACCAGGGAGCACUGGCAGGAUUGCUCUGGGCUGCCAGCUCUGGGGUAGGUGGCAGUGGAGGGGACAGACAGGUGGUUUCUCCCACCUCUGCUCUUCUUCAUUUGCUCUCAGUGCCCCUCACCAGCAUGGCCCAUUCCCAGCUCUGCAUCUCUCCUUCACCUUUACCUGCCUCCAAGAUCAAGGUUAAGGCCCUCCUCACCCUCAAAGGAAAAGAGCCUGGAGACAUCCUCAGCAGCUGAGCUGAAUAUGGAUCAAACUGUCCCUCAGGCAUCUCCAGUAUGACCAAAAAGGUCUCUUGCCACUGACUUUUCUAAAAUAAGGUCUCAAAAUACAGACUCUGAGGCCACAGGCAGACAGUGCCUGGAAAAGGACUUGCUCCUUUGCUGAAGGAGAGGCAGGACAUGUGAGGGACAGGUUGUGCUUUCCCAGAGGCCUUUUAAAGCAGUUACUUGUGGGAAAAUAAAAUGUCACAUUGCAGGCU
This is a long non-coding RNA of Passer domesticus (house sparrow), 2751 nucleotides long. RefSeq lists it as uncharacterized. The transcript is spliced from 3 exons. The record is from RefSeq and is a predicted model, not a curated record. Lineage: Eukaryota; Metazoa; Chordata; Aves; Passeriformes; Passeridae.